RNAcentral lists this ribosomal RNA (497 nucleotides) under uncultured bacterium. RNAcentral's name for it is "partial 16S ribosomal RNA". It matches the Rfam family "Bacterial small subunit ribosomal RNA", at positions 28 to 507 of the family's 1533-position model. The record is from RNAcentral.
GACGAACGCUGGCGGCGUGCCUAAUACAUGCAAGUUGAGCGCUGAAGGUUGGUACUUGUACCAACUGGAUGAGCAGCGAACGGGUGAGUAACGCGUGGGGAAUCUGCCUUUGAGCGGGGGACAACAUUUGGAAACGAAUGCUAAUACCGCAUAAAAACUUUAAACACAAGUUUUAAGUUUGAAAGAUGCAAUUGCAUCACUCAAAGAUGAUCCCGCGUUGUAUUAGCUAGUUGGUGAGGUAAAGGCUCACCAAGGCGAUGAUACAUAGCCGACCUGAGAGGGUGAUCGGCCACAUUGGGACUGAGACACGGCCCCAACUCCUACGGGAGGCAGCAGUAGGGAAUCUUCGGCAAUGGACGAAAGUCUGACCGAGCAACGCCGCGUGAGUGAAGAAGGGUUUCGGAUCGUAAAACUCUGUUGGUAGAGAAGAACGUUGGUGAGAGUGGAAAGCUCAUCAAGUGACGGUAACUACCCAGAAAGGGACGGCUAACUACGUG